Molecule: unclassified non-coding RNA, 253 nt
Filed under: Plectosphaerellaceae sp.
Lineage: Eukaryota; Fungi; Ascomycota; Sordariomycetes; Glomerellales; Plectosphaerellaceae
Description: partial contains 5.8S ribosomal RNA, internal transcribed spacer 2, and large subunit ribosomal RNA
Rfam family: 5.8S ribosomal RNA (bases 1-52)
Source: RNAcentral
AACGCACCUUGCGCCCUUUGGUAUUCCGAAGGGCAUGCCUGUUUGAGUGUCAUAUAGACUCAUCUCUCCAGAUUUUCUAAUCUGGUUAGGUGGAUUGGGCUCUUCCCUUUGCUGGGUGGCCUUAAAGACGUUAGUGAGAUUAGCUGGAAGUUGGCGUAAUAAGUUUCGUCAACGUCAAGGCAAAGCUUGCUUUACCCCUAUAAACACUUUUAAUCUUGACCUCAAAUCAGGUAGGACUACCCGCUGAACUUAA